GUAGAGGGCUAAAUGGUGACAAGUUCAUCCUUGAUAUGAUUAGUUGUGAUGUGAUGCAUUUCAUGUUAUCAUAUGUUUUAAACGCUUUACUAUUCUGCUCACUGGGCUCUAGUAGCUCACCCCUCUCCCAAAUUCCCCAGGUUUGCAGGUACGGGUUAGACAGAGAAGUCAAGAAGAGUAAUGAAGUCUUAUGUAUGUAAUAGUUAGAAAGUGGAC
Molecule: long non-coding RNA, 216 nt
Filed under: Manihot esculenta (cassava)
Lineage: Eukaryota; Viridiplantae; Streptophyta; Magnoliopsida; Malpighiales; Euphorbiaceae
Description: long non-coding RNA (MESC_LNC004601)
Source: RNAcentral